Molecule: ribosomal RNA, 274 nt
Filed under: uncultured bacterium
Lineage: Bacteria
Description: partial 16S ribosomal RNA
Rfam family: Bacterial small subunit ribosomal RNA
Source: RNAcentral
CUACGGAGGGUGCAAGCGUUACUCGGAAUCACUGGGCGUAAAGCGCGCGCAGGCGGCUAUUUAAGUUGGAUGUGAAAGCCUAUGGCUCAACCAUAGAACUGCAUCCAAAACUAUUUAGCUAGAGUGUGGGAGAGGAAGAUGGAAUUAGUUGUGUAGGGGUAAAAUCCGUAGAGAUGACUAGGAAUACCAAAAGCGAAGGCAAUCUUCUGGAACACUACUGACGCUGAGGCGCGAAAGCGUGGGGAGCAAACAGGAUUAGAAACCCUAGUAGUCC